Molecule: ribosomal RNA, 498 nt
Filed under: uncultured bacterium
Lineage: Bacteria
Description: partial 16S ribosomal RNA
Rfam family: Bacterial small subunit ribosomal RNA
Source: RNAcentral
AUUGAACGCUGGUGGCAUGCCUUACACAUGCAAGUUGAACGGUAACAGGUCUUCGGAUGCUGACGAGUGGCGAACGGGUGAGUAAUACAUCGGAACGUGCCUAGUAGUGGGGGAUAACUACUCGAAAGAGUGGCUAAUACCGCAUGAGAUCUACGGAUGAAAGCAGGGGAUCGCAAGCCCUUGUGCUACUAGAGCGGCCGAUGGCAGAUUAGGUAGUUGGUGGGAUAAAAGCUUACCAAGCCGACGAUCUGUAGCUGGUCUGAGAGGACGAUCAGCCACACUGGGACUGAGACACGGCCCAGACUCCUACGGGAGGCAGCAGUGGGGAAUUUUGGACAAUGGGCGCAAGCCUGAUCCAGCAAUGCCGCGUGCAGGAUGAAGGCCUUCGGGUUGUAAACUGCUUUUGUACGGAACGAAAAGCCCCGGGUUAAUACCCUGGGGUCAUGACGGUACCGUAAGAAUAAGCACCGGCUAACUACGUGCCAGCAGCCGCCGUAA